Molecule: long non-coding RNA, 1397 nt
Filed under: Struthio camelus australis
Lineage: Eukaryota; Metazoa; Chordata; Aves; Struthioniformes; Struthionidae
Description: lncRNA (ENSSCUG00000012407.1)
Source: RNAcentral
UUCAGCUCACACAAGAAUCUGUAAACAUACGUAUCGAUCCAUACUUAAUCUGACUCUUACUGGCAGUGAAAUCUUGGAAAGGCAUGCAUGUGUUACUAGAAAUCUCCUGGGAAGCCCUUCAGUUCUUCUGAUUCAAUCCCUAAUCAGGAAGUAUGGAAGGAACAGAAAUGAAUAAUUUUUUUAAACCCAAUAACAGCUCUGCAACACCAACCCUGAUGCUGCUGAAGAGAAAUGAACUGACCAUGGCUCUGGAGGGAGGAAGCAGGCUUGGCUUACCUGGACACACAGACCGCAGACGCAAAACCGCGCUUGAAGAGAGAGGGACAGAAAGGGCUGUCCAAGCGCACCAAGGAUGGCACUAUGGGAAAGGAGGAAGGGACAAGAAAGAAGAAGAGCACAGACAGACAACCUCCUCUAGAUGUGGCUGGGAUGGCUGGGGACACAGUCGUCUUAUCACUGCUGCCAGCCAGAAAUUGCAUCUAGGGUUGAGCUAGUAGAAUUGAAUUGUGAAUUGUCCCUUUUCGCUUUUAGUGCCAAAUGAAGGGAUUUAAGCUAUAGAAGCAGACUUUGCACUAAAACAGAUUGAGGUGUCAAGGUAUUUCGGUACACCUUGCACUGAAACAGUUGAAGGCUUUCAUGUAUUUUGGUUCACCAUGUGCUGUAACAACAAGCAGCUGAAAAGCAACUACGUCCACCAUCUCCAGCCACUUGAAAAGUGUGUAUCCACAACGAACAUCCAUCUGUUGGUGCUGAUCUAUAGCCAUUGUACAGCUCUAGCUGUUGAUUGCAGAUGCAAGGCUUACGUGCUCCUUAGCACAGGAGGAAAGGCGUCAGGGUAAGCUCACAUGUAGCUGCGGCCGCACUGUUGUGCACACAUAUGUUUAUAUGAGGGCUGUGUCCUGUCUGCUUCUCCCCUGACGUAACGAGUGCUGACUCUUCCCUGCCCUCAGCAUCGCUUACAUCAGCCUCCCUAACCUCCUCCCAUCAGGAAGGAGCCACAUGAGCUCAAAGUGUGCAAGGAUUAGACUUAUAAAUAUAGAUUUUCCUUGAGAAAGCCUCAAUUUGAAAGUUAGGGGUUGUGGUGCCACUCUAGGGCAAGGUCAGCAGGGAAGGGUAACCACUUUGGCAGGCCCAGCUGGAGCUGGGAAAGUUGCACGGAGAGACAUUGUAGGCUGGUGGCAUCAGCUUGUUCUGCACAUCACAGCGCUGGAUAGAAAUAUGCAGCCUAGCUUUAACAUGAGUCACUUGGCUUCCAGAAACAGGCUCAAUUACCAGUGAUUUCUAUCUUCUUGAAAUAAUGUCUGUGAGUUAAUUCAACUCCGUCAUUUCAGAGUGGAUAAAAUCACAUCACUAAGCUUACAAAUAAACGUGUAGUGAAGGUAUGGAUAUGAAGUUAG